GAUGAACGCUAGCGGCAGGCCUAACACAUGCAAGUCGAGGGAGAAGCCCUUCGGGGCGGAAACCGGCGCACGGGUGCGUAACGCGUAUGCAACCUACCUUUCACAGGGGGAUAGCCCGAAGAAAUUUGGAUUAAUACCCCAUAAUAUUAUUGGGUGGCAUCAUCUGAUAAUUAAAAUUACGAUGGUGGAAGAUGGGCAUGCGUCCUAUUAGCUAGUUGGAGUGGUAACGGCACCCCAAGGCUACGAUAGGUAGGGGUCCUGAGAGGGAGAUCCCCCACACUGGUACUGAGACAGGGACCAGACUCCUACGGGAGGCAGCAGUGAGGAAUAUUGGUCAAUGGUCGGAAGACUGAACCAGCCAUGCCGCGUGCAGGAAGAAUGCCUUAUGGGUUGUAAACUGCUUUUAUAUGGGAAGAAUAAGGAGCACGUGUGCUUGAUGACGUACCAUAUGAUAAGCUCG
RNAcentral lists this ribosomal RNA (460 nucleotides) under Capnocytophaga granulosa. RNAcentral's name for it is "bacterial SSU rRNA". It matches the Rfam family "Bacterial small subunit ribosomal RNA", at positions 28 to 494 of the family's 1533-position model. Lineage: Bacteria; Pseudomonadati; Bacteroidota; Flavobacteriia; Flavobacteriales; Flavobacteriaceae. The record is from RNAcentral.